RNAcentral lists this unclassified non-coding RNA (456 nucleotides) under Brachypodium boissieri. Its description in RNAcentral is "partial external transcribed spacer". Lineage: Eukaryota; Viridiplantae; Streptophyta; Magnoliopsida; Poales; Poaceae. The record is from RNAcentral.
AUGAGUUGUCUUGGACCAGUGUCUGCCGGCAGCACCCCCGGCCCGUUGUGCGGCCGACUACCGGCGCCUGUGUCCUAUCAGCAUUGCAUGGACGGCUUAUACUUUGCUGCCUUACGGAAGAGUGCUUGCAUCAUGGUCCCUGACCAAUGGGAAGUGGUGCCUCGUACAAAGUUGCCUCGCGGUGGACGCCCGUUGGCGUGCUGCUGCGGCCAAAUUGCGGUGGCGGCGUUGCCUCGUGGUGCCAGCACGCUACGUGCCUGGCCCUACCUAGGAAACCUCGCUCCCGCUCUUGGUCUCGGAUGUCGCUCAUUAUAAAGGCUCGUGGCCCUUUGGCGCCGCGUCCCAAUGGGAAGCUCACUCAAUAGACGACAGCUGCUCUGUUUGUGGCCGUUGCCAUGCCAUGCAUGUGGCUGGCACGUGCGGCUCUCGGUGUCGGCUUGUCGACGAGGACGUGCU